CCAAAGAGUAUAAUUUUAUCAUCCAUCACCACGCACAUGUGCCCGGUCACUGCUUUUGCCCUCCUCCCUCCCUCAUUCCCCUCUGGUAACC
Ceratotherium simum simum (southern white rhinoceros) is the source of this 91-nucleotide non-coding RNA. The record is from RefSeq and is a predicted model, not a curated record. NCBI's taxonomy places the organism in Eukaryota, Metazoa, Chordata, Mammalia, Perissodactyla, Rhinocerotidae.